GCGGAAGUGGAACGACCGGCUGCACGGCGGCCGAGCGCGGACAAAAAUUCUUCGGGAGAAGAGGCGGGGCGGGGGCAGAGAUGGGGGGUGAUGGGGGCGGAGAUUAGGGGUGGGGGCGGGGUGGGGCGGGGAUUAGGGUGUUGAGGGCGGGGAAUGGGGUGUUGAGGGCGGGGAUUGGGGUGGUGGGGGCGGGACACCAGGCCCUCCUGCAUCCGGCACCGCGGCCGCGCGGCGAAAAGUGCUAGCAGUGGUUGUUCCGCCGCCGCCUCCCGGGUGCUGUCGCCCGCCCAGCGGAGCAGGGGAAGCGCUGAGCCCACGCUGGCCCCGCUCCUCUCCGUUGCCGGGUCCGCUCCCACGGGCUCGGCCGCCAGACCCUCAGUGGCACCCGCCCUGUGCGGCCCUCGUGUGGCCGCAGCCCCGCUCCCCGUCCCGGUUCCACAGACGCUGGGGCGCAGGGGCGGCUCCGCCCUGCCCUUGCCCUUCACCCGCACGGUGGAGGGGUCACCGCUCACCGCAGCCUCCGCCUCCGGGCUCCAGCGGUCCUCGCAGGCGCGCGCCACCACGCUCAGCUAAUUUUUUCUUAUUUUUUAUAGAGAUGCGGUCUCCUGAAAAGUAGCCACUCUUUUUUUUGUUUUUGUUUUUUGGGUGGCGGGGGACAGAGUCUUGCUUUUUCGCCAGGCUGGAGUGCAGUGGCGCGAUCUCGGCUCGGGAUCUCCGCCUCCCGGGCUCAAGCGAUUCUCCUGUCUCAGCUUCCCGAGUAGCUGGGACUACAGGCGCGCGCCACCACGCCCGGUUAAUUUUUUUGUAUUUUAGUAGAGACGAGGUUUCACCAUGUUGGCCAGGAUGGUCUCGAUAUCCUGACCUCGUGAUCCGCCUUCCUCGGCCUCCCAAAGUGCUGGGAUUACAAGCGUGAGCCACGCGCCCGGCCUUUUUUUUUUUUUUAAGAGACGGGCUCACUAUGUUGCCCAGGCAGAUCUCGAACUGCUGAGCUCAAGCGAUCCGCCCGCCUCCCCCUCCCGAAGUGCUAGGAUUCCAGGUGUGGCCACCGCGCCCGCCGCUUCCUUGCCUCCUCUCCCAACCAAGCUUGCCCUCCUGUCUUCUGCUUUCUCUUAGACAAACUCAUAUGAUCCUGGGCCCGCGCAGAUAAUCUGGCAUAAUCUCAAAAUUCUUAAUCCCAUCUCUGGGGCCACAAUUCAGCCAACUACAAGCUUGAAUUUGGGGAAUGAGCCAUGGAGGUGUUGGGGAGAGUGUGUUCCUGGCAGUGCAAGGGCCAGGAGGCAGGAGCCAGCCGUCUGCAGCAGCCCCACUCCCGCCCUCCAGGGUCUGCGCCUUCUCCUACAGAUGUACCCGGAGGAUCACGGCGCCCACAGCCUGGCAGCUGCUCCACCACACCUUCUCACCUGGUGCUGAGUGCAGCUGUUCCUGUCUGAGGAGGCUCAGUUUGGAAGCAGCCCCUCUUGGGACUCAGAAAUCAAGGUCUCCGCCUUCCCCUUCCUCGAGAACACCAACCUGUCAAUGAACUUUCACUUCUUACUGCAGUUAGCAAUUUUUAGCAAGUUAUUUUUAUCUAAUAAAAACAACAUAUAGUUUUAAAAACGCGAACCCUACAGGAGUUUGAGACCAGCCUGGCCAACAUGUGAAACCCCGUCUCUACUAAAAAUACAAAAAAUUAGCUGGGCACAUGCCUGUAGUCCCAGCUAUUCGGGAGGCUGAGGCAGGAGAAUUGCUUGAACUCGGGAGGCGGAUGUUGCGGUGAGCCCAGAUUGCACCACUGCACUCCAGUCUGGGCUACAGAAUGAGACUUCAACUACAAAAAAAAAAAAGUGGGGGCGUGGUGGCUCACGCCUGUAAUCCCAGCACUUUGGGAGGAUGAGACAGGCAGGUGGAUCACGGGGUCAGAUUGAGACCAUCCUGGACAACAUGGUGAAACUCCGUCUCUACUAAAAAUACAAAAACUAGUUGGGCGUGGUGGCACUUGCCUAUAAUCCCAGCUACUCGGGAGCCUGAGGCUGGAGAAUCGCUUGAACCCGGGAGGCAGAGAUUGCAGUGAGCCAAGAUUGCACCACUGCACUCCAGCCUGGGCGAUAGAGGGAGACUGUCUCAAAAAAAAAAAAAAAAAGCCAGGUGCGCUGGCUCAUGCCUGUAAUCCCAGCACUUUGGAAGGCCAAGGCAGGCAGACCACAACAUCAGAUUGAAACUAUCCUGGCUAAUACGGUGAAACCCCGUCUCUACUAAAAACAAAACAAAACAGAACAAAAAUUAGCCGGGCUUGGUGGCUGUAGUCCCAGCUACUUGGGAGGCUGAGGAGGAAAAUCUCUUGAACCUGGGAGGCAGAGGUUGCAGUGAGCCGAGAUUGCACCACUGCACUCCAGCCUCCAGCCUGAGCAUCAGAGUUACUUGUUUCAAAUUUAAAAAAAAAAAGGGGGGGGAGGGGGCAAAGGAUUUAGAUGUUCCUCCAAAGACACACAAAUGGCCGCCAAGUACCUGUGAUGCUCGAUGUCAUGACCCCUUGGGGAAAUGCAAAUCAAAACCACAUGGCAAGGCCUUGGAGGCCCAGCUGCUUAGAGGCUGCAGUGAACGAACCGUGAGGCUUCUUGGAAGUUUAACGCAGAGCUCCAUGUGGCUCCGAAAGCCCCUCCUAGGUGUAUCCCCCAGAGGAGUCAAAGCAGGUGCCCAAAGCUAUCCCAAGGCAGGUGCCCUGCCCUCUGGAGUCUCUUCACCCUGUGCAGGAACCCAGCCUGGUGGGAAAGGCUUCCUGUGGCGCAGGAAGCCUGUCUGCAUUGUCCCUCAACACACCCAGCUUCUGCCCUAGGGCUCUGCUCCCAGGGCUGUGUCGACCAUUGUGGGCACCCGUGGAGGGGGCCCUGGGGCUCCUGCGCCUCGGCUGAGAAAGAAAAUGACAGAACCCUGAAAACAGUGACAAGCCAACAAAGACAAGUGGUGACACCAGCCCAACAAUUCCAAAGGUUUAUUUCCUUAAAUUGAUAUUACACAAUAUAACGCAAAGGGCAGGAAAUCACACAAAAUUUGCUUUAAAACAGACAAAGGGUCCAGCACUAUCAAGAGAACAUUCAACCAGGGGCAGCAGUUGAGGCGCCCAGGACCUGCUUGGACACACGCACACGUGGCCGCGACAGAAGCAAGAGGACCAGGACGCCGGGCAAGAUCCCCGCAGUGCCAGCUUCCCAGGACUCAGGAUUCCAGUCGGCCAUGAAGCAAUAAAUACUAACAUGCCCCACAAGGUGAGAAUAAAGCCAUCAAGGUGACGAGGAAGAAGUCACGGGGAUUUUCUUCUUCUAAGUCCAAGCACAGUGGCAAUAUUUCAAGUAUUGCAAAGAAAAACACACGUGUGUGUAUUUUUGUCUGUUAUGUGGCGUGUGACCCUGGAACCCCCCGCGUGGGUCCAUGGCCCCACCGCUGCCUCCCGCAGACUGGGGACUCGUUCAAGUAUCUACUGAUUCAGGCAGGGCUAACCGAGGGCUGGGCAGACCAAGGGAGGCCCAGGCGGGGUUUGCAGCGCGUGCCUGCCUGGAAUCCAGAAAGCAGGCCUCUCUGCGGACGCCCUCCGUGGUCCUGGGCAAGGCAGAGGCAGGGAGGGACAGGGCUGUCAUCAGGCCUACCCUGCCGAGGAGCUGACAUCAAAACUGACUGUCAAAGCUGGACGGGGAGCUUUUGCACAUGUUACUUUUUUCUUUGCAUGAAGUAUUCCCCUCAUCUGCCUCCAGGCCCAGGUGGGGAGGGUGCUGGGCACACACCUGUCCUGCUGCUGCCACAGGGAGGGGCGGCAGGGGACAGCCACCGACACAGGUGUGCAAAGCAGCCUCACCCGCCCGCCACACGCCCCUGCACCAUCUGCCUCUAACCUGGCCCAGACCUCGCCCUCCCAAAACCAAUUCUUAAACACCUACAAGUUUUCUCCUUUAAAGAAAAAUGAGCUGCAUAAAAAUAAGACACAUUUUAGGAAUAAAGUGUGAAAGAUUACAAGACUUAUCCAGGGCUGAGAGAACACGGUGCCUCUGCUGCCGGUCCCUAGAGGAACGCUUGAACAAAGAACUGCCUCUGCCUCUAGCGCAGGGCCCCACACCCCCGGGAGCCAGUUCUCCCCGAGGUCCAGACCUGGGCAGCAACGUGGUCCGGUGCUCAGGCUUGGGGGCCCUGGCAUGUGUCCGCAUAUGUGUAUGUACAAACACCGGGUCACUGCCAGGAAUCACUGCCCAGCAGUCCCUGGGGAGGUCCAGGUUCUGUCUCUAUCUGCAUAAAGUGCUUGGGUGAUUGACAAAGCUGGGUGGGUAUCUCGGAGGGAGAGGCUCCUGGAGACUGGGGGAUGCCAAGGCUGCAGGCUCUUCCUGGGCACAGUGCCUGCUGACCUGUCCUAAGCAGGAGCUCACUUUGGCUUUGAGUCGGCAGCGGUCUCAGGCCCUUGCCUGUCCUCCGGGGCUGCCCUGGGGCUAGAGGGUGGUGGCACCCAUGCCUGCUGUGCCAGGCAGCCGGAGGGCAGAAAUUGUGAUCCCCACCUGUAAAAGAUGGGAGACACCCCCAAGCUGUGUGGCUCCAGAUGUGCUGGUUCUGCCCCGUGAGCUGCAGGGAGGCCAGCAGGCUGACUGUCCAAGCUGUGUGGCUCCAGAUGUGCUGGUUCUGCCCCGUGAGCUGCAGGGAGGCCAGCAGGCUGACUGUCCUUGGGGCCCAGGGCAGGGCUCAGCACCAGCGAUCAGCGCCAUGCGCUUGUCCCGAGGAGUCCAGCCAGCACACAGAG
This is a long non-coding RNA of Pongo pygmaeus (Bornean orangutan), 4753 nucleotides long. RefSeq lists it as uncharacterized. The record is from RefSeq and is a predicted model, not a curated record. The transcript has 2 exons. Lineage: Eukaryota; Metazoa; Chordata; Mammalia; Primates; Hominidae.